This 253-nucleotide ribosomal RNA is filed under the name uncultured bacterium. RNAcentral describes it as "partial 16S ribosomal RNA". It matches the Rfam family "Bacterial small subunit ribosomal RNA", at positions 524 to 776 of the family's 1533-position model. The record is from RNAcentral.
GACAGAGGGGGCAAGCGUUGCUCGGAAUUACUGGGCGUAAAGGGCGCGUAGGCGGGAUGGCAAGUCGGUCGUGAAAUCCCUCGGCUCAACCGAGGAACGUCGAUCGAUACUGCUGUUCUUGAGGAUUGCAGAGGAGACUGGAAUUCCCGGUGUAGCGGUGAAAUGUGUAGAGAUCGGGAGGAACAUCGGUGGCGAAGGCGGGUCUCUGGGCAAUUCCUGACGCUGAGGCGCGAAAGCGUGGGGAGCAAACGGG